RNAcentral lists this ribosomal RNA (459 nucleotides) under uncultured bacterium. RNAcentral describes it as "partial 16S ribosomal RNA". It matches the Rfam family "Bacterial small subunit ribosomal RNA", at positions 338 to 795 of the family's 1533-position model. The record is from RNAcentral.
CCUACGGGUGGCAGCAGUGAGGAAUAUUGGUCAAUGGGCGGGAGCCUGAACCAGCCAAGUCGCGUGAAGGAAGAAUGUCCUUUGUAUUGUAAACUUCUUUUGUCGGGGAACAAAGUCGGAGACGCGUCUCCUUAUGUGUGUACCCUAAGAAAAAGCAUCGGCUAACUCUGUGCCAGCAGCCGCGGUAAUACGGAGGAUGCGAGCGUUAUCCGGAUUUAUUGGGUUUAAAGGGUGCGCAGGCGGGAGAUCAAGUCAGCGGUAAAAUGUCGGGGCUCAACCCAGGCCGGCAGUUGAAACUGGUAGUCUAGAGUUGGAGAGAGGUAGGCGGAAUUCGUGGUGUAGCGGUGAAAUGCAUAGAUAUCACGAAGAACUCCGAUUGCGAAGGCAGCAUACCGGAUCGAUACUGACGCUGAGGCACGAAAGCGUGGGGAUCGAACAGGAUUAGAUACCCUUGUAGUC